GUGGGAUCAGCAUCACAAAUAAAAGUUAGGGUUGGUAUGAAAGAAUUAGACUCAUGCAGUGAGUCUCCGUUGGAGAAAUUUAAAGAGGACAUACUUGAGGAAAUUCGCAAAGAACUGCAGAAAAUAAAGGAUGAAAUCACUCAAGGUAAGAAUAUGCAUUUAUGUAUUAAUGAAUAAUUGAAUGCGUAAUGGAAAAUGGUAAUUGGUUCGAUUCCAUGUAGCACACAUAGUGUAUUGUAUAUUUCAUACUGUGUGCUCAGAUGACCACUUGCAGCCUGUCUUCUUAACAGGUUAGGAUAGGUGCACCAACAGUGUGGUGUCUUGUGUUGACAGUCUUCCCAUUUACUUCCCAGUUUGCUUCACAAUAGAUAGAUAGAUAG
This is a long non-coding RNA of Clupea harengus (Atlantic herring), 380 nucleotides long. RefSeq lists it as uncharacterized. The record is from RefSeq and is a predicted model, not a curated record. The transcript is spliced from 3 exons. NCBI's taxonomy places the organism in Eukaryota, Metazoa, Chordata, Actinopteri, Clupeiformes, Clupeidae.